This is a long non-coding RNA of Symphalangus syndactylus (siamang), 1984 nucleotides long. RefSeq lists it as uncharacterized. NCBI's taxonomy places the organism in Eukaryota, Metazoa, Chordata, Mammalia, Primates, Hylobatidae. The record is from RefSeq and is a predicted model, not a curated record.
CUGGCUUAGACUACAGGGUUGAAGGGACAGGUGGUGGGGACGGAAUCUAACACUUCCAGCACCACACUGCUUAACUUGUUCCAAUGCAUAUGUGGCAUUUUUAAAAUCUGGUGAAAUAGAAAGAGGUUAUUUCUAUUGUAAAGGCAAAUGUGCAAAUGAACAUUUAUUUAAAUGUCUCACAUCAGAAUAUGGAAAAAAGAAACUGAAGUGAGUUUUAUAGGAAUCCCUUAAGAAAACACACUCUCUCUCUGAUAAAGUGCAUUUCUAGGAACAGGGCCGAUUUCCUCUGCCUUCCACUAAGAACGGUAACAUCACAUUCUAGAUGAUUCUAGAACACAUCCACCUCCUACAGAAGGCAGGGCAGACAAUGAUGGUAGGGUCUGCAGCAAAGACACAGGCUCCUUGAAGACGCCCAUGGCGAGAUCAGCCCCAGGUCGCCGCUUCCACAGACGGGCCUUUUCCUAAAGCGGAUGAAGGGUGUCAAAUAGGCCAGUAAAGCAACCUGUGCUCUCCAAGGAAUGGGAAAGGAAGGAUGGAACCAUUACCUUCUGGUCCCGUAACUGCGAGUUCCAGUUACUCAACCUCUCCACGUCAACCAGACGGAACUCCGACCAGGUGCCCCCAAGACCCCUGGGCCCACGUCGCACCCGUCCUCAGCGCUGCUCAUCUUCCCCAACAGGCCCUGCCACUCUCUGGCCCCACAACAGAAGGCUGCCCCAGGGCCCCAAACGAGGCUCCUGGUGUCCCCCACCCACUCUUCCGGACCUCAAGGGGAGGGCUGGGCAUUCAGCUUCGCAUGUCCCUACCUAGCAGAGUGCCCUAGACCAGCGAAGGGACCAAGGCACGGAAGGACGACUGAUUUAUUCUCACUCUUAGCAGACACUUAACGAGAUUCACGGACAAAAACUGCCAGGGUUAACAGAUCAGAGGAAUGUCAGCCUCGAUUUCCACUCACAUGUGCACGCGCACACACACACACACGAAAAUAAACAAGAUACAAACAUGACAAGCGCUAUCAGAAGACAAAAGGCGGGCUGGAGACGCUUCACAGAACACAGGGAUGCCCAGGGUAAAAUCCCAUCCCCGUCCUCGAGGUACAAGUGAGAGCCAUGCUGCCCUCAGCUCAGUCACGUCCAGCCACACCCGCUGGUAAGCUCAGCAUCAACAUCGUCCCAGGUGAGGUUACCCCAAAGACGCCUCUCCUGCUACUAGCCAGGAGCCAGAGAGAAAGGGGGCACCCUGAGAACCCAAAAGCAGUGACAGACCACGGGACAAAAGGUACCACGGAACAAAAGGUGCCACAGAACGAAACAUGUCAUGGAACAAAACGUGCCACGGAACGAAAUGCCAGGACACGGCAGGGGGAUAAACCUGGCCUCCAACUCCCUUUCAACUCAGCACUCACCUUUCCGGGGGCUCUUGUGCCUCUGCUUCCUCUAUGCUAACGGGAGGGUAAAUAUUUGGGACAAGGGGCUCUGAGGAUGCCUCUAUUUUUAAAACUGCACUUAAUACAGUCACAGCAUAACCCAAAUCCUCAUUUGAUUCUAGAAGCAGGAAAUCAGAGCGCCCUAUCAAACCCCUCUCAGGAACACACACACAGGCUCUUACUGAGUGAACAAGUCUAUCACCACCGAGAGUUAAGAACAAGGCAGAAGACACGUGUAGAGCAAGACUAUGAAUGCACAGGGCUGCUCGAGUGUUUCAGGGAAAACCUGCAAGAUGUGACUCUACUGCUUCUGUGAGGAGUGAUAUUUAAUUUCCCCAAGGAACCCGAGACCUGGGAAAAGCGUAGUGUUCACAGUGACCUGUCAGGACCACGUCCAACUCUGUGACAGGUAUGGUGGGCUCAAUAUCUGAAACUUUCAACGCUGGCAGACAAGAGGCAUCUUGAGGUUUGCUUUGUUGAGUCCGUAAUUCUAAACCUAAAAUAGAAACAAGAAAAAGGAAUAUUCAGGGCCAUAAUUAAAAGGUUUGAUGCAACUUA